This 497-nucleotide ribosomal RNA is filed under the name uncultured bacterium. Its description in RNAcentral is "partial 16S ribosomal RNA". It matches the Rfam family "Bacterial small subunit ribosomal RNA", at positions 28 to 507 of the family's 1533-position model. The record is from RNAcentral.
GAUGAACGCUGGCGGCGUGCCUAAUACAUGCAAGUCGAGCGAACAGACGAGGAGCUUGCUCCUCUGACGUUAGCGGCGGACGGGUGAGUAACACGUGGAUAACCUACCUAUAAGACUGGGAUAACUUCGGGAAACCGGAGCUAAUACCGGAUAAUAUAUUGAACCGCAUGGUUCAAUAGUGAAAGACGGUUUUGCUGUCACUUAUAGAUGGAUCCGCGCCGCAUUAGCUAGUUGGUAAGGUAACGGCUUACCAAGGCAACGAUGCGUAGCCGACCUGAGAGGGUGAUCGGCCACACUGGAACUGAGACACGGUCCAGACUCCUACGGGAGGCAGCAGGAGGGAAUCUUCCGCAAUGGGCGAAAGCCUGACGGAGCAACGCCGGGUGAGUGAUGAAGGUCUUCGGAUCGUAAAACUCUGUUAUUAGGGAAGAACAAAUGUGUAAGUAACUAUGCACGUCUUGACGGUACCUAAUCAGAAAGCCACGGCUAACUACGUG